UACAGGGGGUGCAAACGUUGCUCGGAAUUAUUGGGCGUAAAGCGCGCGUAGGCGGCUACCUAAGUCGGAUGUGAAAGCCCCUGGCUUAACUGGGGAAGUGCACCCGAAACUGGGUAGCUAGAGUGCAAAAGAGGGUCGCGGAAUUCCCGGUGUAGAGGUGAAAUUCGUAGAUAUUGGGAAGAACACCGAUGGCGAAGGCAGCCAUCUGGACCGACACUGACGCUGAGGCGCGAAAGCGUGGGGAGCAAACAGG
This 253-nucleotide ribosomal RNA is filed under the name uncultured bacterium. Its description in RNAcentral is "partial 16S ribosomal RNA". It matches the Rfam family "Bacterial small subunit ribosomal RNA", at positions 524 to 776 of the family's 1533-position model. The record is from RNAcentral.